UUUGUCACCCGGAAAGCCAAGAGGGGCUGUCGCUGACUUUUCGUCGUGCACGCCCAAGUGCUCUCAACCAUCCAUCUCACCCUAUGUGCACCACCGCGUGGGUUCCCUUUUUGGUCCGCCCCGAAGGGGGCUCGGGUUUCCACCCAACUCCAAUCCGGGGAAAAAGGCCCCUUUGCAAUAAAAGCCAUUUAAAACAAUUUUCACCAACGAACCUUUGGGUCCUCGCACCGAGAAGAAAGGCGGGAAAUGGCAAUCCUAAAGGGGAUUGGCGAAAUUCGUGGAACCUCCAAACCUUUAACCCCACCUGGCCCCCCUGGCAUUUCCAAGGGGCACCCCCGUUGGAGGGCCGGGAAUUUCCCAAAAACUUUUCUUUAAUAAAAGGUUUUGGAAUUUGAAGGUUUUUUGCUGGUUUCCCCCCAAACCAACCUCCUCCAAAAGAAAUAAGGGGGGCCGGCUUUGCCGACCUUUGACGGAAAAAAAGGUAACAACUCCCCGGGUCCGGCAAUGGGGCCGGCUUCAAACCGCCCCAUGAAAAAGGAGGCCGUUCGGGCACCCACGGUUUCUUCGGCGGGAAGGCUGGACCCACCAAAAAAACUUUGACUCCAAUCCGGGGGGAAACACCCCCCGAAAUUAAACCAAUUCAAAAAACGGAAGAAACC
Molecule: unclassified non-coding RNA, 659 nt
Filed under: uncultured fungus
Lineage: Eukaryota; Fungi
Description: partial contains ITS1, 5.8S rRNA and ITS2
Rfam family: 5.8S ribosomal RNA (bases 196-349)
Source: RNAcentral